GGUGAGGUAAUGGCUCACCAGGGCAUUGACGGGUAGCUAGUCUGAGAGGACGAAUAGCCACACUGGGACUGAGACACGGCCCAGACUCCUACGGGAGGCAGCAGUGGGGAAUCUUGCACAAUGGGCGAAAGCCUGAUGCAGCGACGCCGCGUGGGGGAUGAAGGCCCUAGGGUCGUAAACCCCUUUCAGUGGGGACGAAAAUGACGGUACCCACAGAAGAAGGUCCGGCCAACUACGUGCCAGCAGCCGCGGUAAGACGUAGGGACCAAGCGUUAUCCGGAUUUAUUGGGCGUAAAGAGCUCGUAGGCGGUUGCGUAAGUCGGAUGCGAAAACUUGAGGCUCAACCUCGAGACGCCAUCCGAUACUGCGCUGACUUGAAUCCAGUAGGGGAGUGUGGAAUUUGUUGUGUAGCGGUGAAAUGCGCAGAUAUAACAAGGAACACCUAUGGCGAAGGCAGCACUCUGGGCUGGUAUUGACGCUGAGGAGCGAAAGCAUGGGUAGCAAACAGGAUUAGAUACCCUGGUAGUCCAUGCCGUAAACGGUGGGCACUAGGUGUGGGGACUUUCAACGGUUUCCGUGCCGAAGCUAACGCAUUAAGUGCCCCGCC
RNAcentral lists this ribosomal RNA (607 nucleotides) under uncultured Actinomycetes bacterium. Its description in RNAcentral is "bacterial SSU rRNA". It matches the Rfam family "Bacterial small subunit ribosomal RNA", at positions 251 to 873 of the family's 1533-position model. Lineage: Bacteria; Bacillati; Actinomycetota; Actinomycetes. The record is from RNAcentral.